Molecule: long non-coding RNA, 704 nt
Filed under: Pan troglodytes (chimpanzee)
Lineage: Eukaryota; Metazoa; Chordata; Mammalia; Primates; Hominidae
Description: long non-coding RNA NONPTRT006310
Source: RNAcentral
AAGUGCUCCUUUGAGGCAGAUCCUAACCUACUGCAGUGAUCUUUCCCUAGAGAAGACUCACAGAACUGGCAAUCAUUGCACCAGGAGAGAUGAAUUGCUUUGCUCUGAAGUACAGAAAUCUACCCAAUGACACGGCACCCCACACACAACAAGGAGAUGUGUACAAAUAUCUAGUUCAUACAAUUUCAAUCAAGGAAUGAGAAGAGAAAACACUUCUGCAUCAAGGUGACUUCACUCAAUUGCAGCUGAAAACGAAUGAGAUCAUGUCAGUAAAUGCCUUUGGGCUCUUCAAAGAAAGUGAAAAACCCACCAGUUCACUGUGAAUCCCAAGCCUGCAGGUGCAUGCAAAUUUUCCCCUCCCAUCUAGCCUUCCUUGCAGAGCCACCCCCAGAACCAAAUGCGUGAAGUCAGCAGAUCUCUCUUCUCGCCUGGAAAUAACCAUUACUCACCUGAGUUAAUGGGUAAAGUGAGGCUUCCUUUACUUCAAGGGCCACUGGGAAUAGCUACACGACCUCCAGCAGAUGCAUUGAUAUUUCUGGGACUGUUUGUCCAUGUCUCUCUCUUCAUCUGUCAGCCCCACAUUCCUCUGCUUUGAUCUAGUUCUGAGCAAGCUCUUUCAUUGAGGUGGUAAAUGACUGCCUGAAGCACCAGGUCUCCAUCCUAACCCCUACCCCUGAAAUAUCCUCAUAGAGGAAAACCCUUCU